This 292-nucleotide ribosomal RNA is filed under the name uncultured bacterium. RNAcentral's name for it is "partial 16S ribosomal RNA". It matches the Rfam family "Bacterial small subunit ribosomal RNA", at positions 505 to 796 of the family's 1533-position model. The record is from RNAcentral.
GUGCCAGCCGCCGCGGUAAUACAGAGGCCUCGAGCGUUAGGCGGAAUCACUGGGCUUAAAGCGUGUGUAGGUGGAUGCCUAAGUACCUUGUGAAAUCCCACAGCUUAACUGUGGAAUUGCUUGGUAUACUGGGUGUCUUGAGCCACUCAGGGGCUACCGGAACAAGCGGUGGAGCGGUGAAAUGCGUAGAUAUCGCUUGGAACGCCAAUGGUGAAAACAGGUAGCUGGGGGUGUGCUGACACUGAGACACGAAAGCCAGGGGAGCAAACGGGAUUAGAUACCCCCGUAGUCC